AGUGAACGCUGGCGGUAGGCCUAACACAUGCAAGUCGAACGGCAGCACAGAGGAGCUUGCUCCUUGGGUGGCGAGUGGCGGACGGGUGAGGAAUACAUCGGAAUCUACUCUGUCGUGGGGGAUAACGUAGGGAAACUUACGCUAAUACCGCAUACGACCUACGGGUGAAAGCAGGGGAUCUUCGGACCUUGCGCGAUUGAAUGAGCCGAUGUCGGAUUAGCUAGUUGGCGGGGUAAAGGCCCACCAAGGCGACGAUCCGUAGCUGGUCUGAGAGGAUGAUCAGCCACACUGGAACUGAGACAAGGUCCAGACUCCUACGGGAGGCAGCAGUGGGGAAUAUUGGACAAUGGGCGCAAGCCUGAUCCAGCCAUACCGCGUGGGUGAAGAAGGCCUUCGGGUUGUAAAGCCCUUUUGUUGGGAAAGAAAUCCAUCUGGUUAAUACCCGGGUGGGAUGACGGUACCCAAAGAAUAAGCACCGGCUAACUUCGUGCCAGCCGCCGAGGUAA
This 506-nucleotide ribosomal RNA is filed under the name uncultured bacterium. RNAcentral describes it as "partial 16S ribosomal RNA". It matches the Rfam family "Bacterial small subunit ribosomal RNA", at positions 29 to 523 of the family's 1533-position model. The record is from RNAcentral.